This 497-nucleotide long non-coding RNA is filed under the name Gossypium barbadense (sea-island cotton). RNAcentral's name for it is "long non-coding RNA (GBAR_LNC023461)". The record is from RNAcentral. Lineage: Eukaryota; Viridiplantae; Streptophyta; Magnoliopsida; Malvales; Malvaceae.
CACAAUUCAACCAUUCAUAAAUUGAUUGGUCAAUCACAGUAUCAAUAAAUCAUCUCAUAGUUUUUGGGGAAAGAUCUGGUUACGUCGACAUUUAUUUCAUGUUCGUCUAUAACAACUAGUUGAUCUACAAAUGGAUUAUUGAAAAUGAAUUUUAGAAGCACAAACCACAAUAUCUAUUCAACACUCACAUUUUCCUUUCCUUUCACUUUUGACGUCCAACGUCGUCUUUGGUUUAUUCUCUUAAUUGAAGGACGGCAAUGGAAGAAACUCAAAGCUAUUUUCUUUCGUUCUCAUGCAUGUACUGUGAUGGAGAAGACGAUAGAAUGUUCCUUUAACACUCUCUCCUGCUAAUUAUAUAUAAGUAAUCAACACUUCAUUAACUUAAUUAACCCAUUAGAUAAAUAAUUAAGCAUGUUUAGUUGUUACUUUAGUGGAAAAUGAUGACAUGAUAAAUAAUUAACAUUAACAUAAAUUUAAAAUGGUUUUAAGUACUCCCC